Molecule: long non-coding RNA, 1131 nt
Filed under: Castor canadensis (American beaver)
Lineage: Eukaryota; Metazoa; Chordata; Mammalia; Rodentia; Castoridae
Description: lncRNA (ENSCCNG00000000971.1)
Source: RNAcentral
AGCACUUCUCCUUGUCUCCUCUGGAGUCAUUUCUCAGCACCACAGCUCCCUAAAAAAGUACAAAAUGGGAGGGGUCACCUGGGGACAGAACAGCUGCAAGCAAGGACUAUGACACUGUGCAAUAUUCUUCCCAUUCUGAACCUCAGUCUCCCUGGGUGAGGAGGCAGCAAGAUGCUUACAGUCAGCCUGACGUGGGUCAGGAUAUUUCCAGCAGGCUCUCCACCCUCCCAGGCUUUCCACUGCAGAAGUCCCUGCUACAGCUCCUAAAGAUGAAUCUGUUGUAAAACCCAAAGGAAAUAUGGGUUAAGUAUCCUUUAUCCGAAAUUCCGGAGACCAGAGUGUUUCUGAUUUUCUACUGGGUACAGAGGCUCACGCCUGUAAUACCAACAUGCAGAAGAUAGAGGAUUGACAAUUGCAGGCUGUCCUGGGCAACAGUGAGUCUUUGUCUAAAUUUUAAUUUUGGAUUAUUUGCACAUACAUAGUGAGGUGUCUUGGGAAUGAAAUUAACACUAAACACAAAAUUCAUCUAUGUUUCUGGUGCACCUUCUACACAUAACCUGAAGUAAUGUCAUCUAGUAUUUUAUUGAUUGCAUUCUGACUGCAAAGGCUUGGAUUUUGAAACAUUUCACAUUUUCGCUUUUGUGUUGUUGUUAUUGUUGCUUUGUGUGUGUGUGUGUGUGUUUGUGUGGUACUGGGGCUUGAACUCAGGGCCUUAAGCCUCUCCACCGGCCCUUUUCUUUGUGUUGGGUUUUUUUGAGAUAGGGUUUCAUGAGCUAUUUGCCUGGGCUGGCUUCGAACUUCGAUCCUCCUGAUCUCUGCCUCCUAAGUGGUUAGGAUUACAGGUGUGAGCCACUGGCACCUGGCAGAAAUCUUAAUGAGAGCUAAAGGAUGGGUGUGAUGAUACACGCUUGUAAUCCCAGCUACUGGGGAAGCAGAGGUAGGAGGAUCGAAGUCUGAGGCAGCCAGGAAAAAGUUAGCUAGGAGACUCUACAUGAAAAACAAACUGAAAAAGCCAAAGGGCUGGUAGAGUGGCUCAAGUGGUAGAACGCCUGCCUAGCAAGCGUGAGGUCCUGAGUUCAAACCCCAGUGCCGCCAAAUAAAAGCUGCUGGGUUUCCUCCCUGCUGUGUGCC